CAGCUCACCAGGAUGCUGCUGUUCCCCACGGCCACAGCAGAGACUUGCUGAGGAGGAGGAAGGUCUUGCAGGGGGGACAGGAUGAGCAAACAAAAAAAGACACCAUCAGCACAAACCUGCCUUAACCUCAGGUGCACCCGCUGGAGUUGAGGUGUGCUGAUGAUGGCUCUUCUGAAGAGAGCAAGCCACAAACCCAAGAGAGGGUUUUGCUCUGCAGGGCUGGGACUAACGGAAAGGCAGUAAAUAAAGCAUUUACCUAUGUCUGUUAGCGUGAAGGCGAGCGGCUGUGAAAAAGCACUUCCGAGCUCAUUGGAGGCGGCGACCACAAGGGUCAACAGUUUUCUACAAGCUACUAAGAAAGUUUCUACUACUUUGGCCAACAGAAGCAGGAGAAGAAGAAGAAGGUGAAGAAAAAAACUCCACACAACAAAAAACUCUCAGAACUACCGCAGCAGUCAGAAUAUAUCAAAUACUUCAGAAGCGAAUACACCAGCAAGCACUUUCUGUAACUCUGACCUCUCACAGAGAUGCAGCUAUUUUAAAAACUUGAGGCUAUAUUGGAAACAAACUACUGCAAAG
Long non-coding RNA from Columba livia (rock pigeon), 579 nucleotides. RefSeq lists it as uncharacterized. The record is from RefSeq and is a predicted model, not a curated record. The transcript is spliced from 5 exons. NCBI's taxonomy places the organism in Eukaryota, Metazoa, Chordata, Aves, Columbiformes, Columbidae.